UGAGGAAUAUUGGUCAAUGGACGCAAGUCUGAACCAGCCAUGCCGCGUGCAGGAAGACGGCUCUAUGAGUUGUAAACUGCUUUUGUACGAGGGUAAAUCCCGAUACGUGUAUCGGGUUGAAAGUAUCGUACGAAUAAGGAUCGGCUAACUCCGUGCCAGCAGCCGCGGUAAUACGGAGGAUUCAAGCGUUAUCCGGAUUUAUUGGGUUUAAAGGGUGCGUAGGCGGUUCGAUAAGUUAGAGGUGAAAUCCCGGGGCUCAACUCCGGCACUGCCUCUGAUACUGUCGGGCUAGAGUUUAGUUGCGGUAGGCGGAAUGUAUGGUGUAGCGGUGAAAUGCAUAGAGAUCAUACAGAACACCGAUUGCGAAGGCAGCUUACCAAACUACGACUGACGUUGAGGCACGAAAGCGUGGGGAGCAAACAGG
RNAcentral lists this ribosomal RNA (424 nucleotides) under uncultured bacterium. RNAcentral's name for it is "bacterial SSU rRNA". It matches the Rfam family "Bacterial small subunit ribosomal RNA", at positions 355 to 776 of the family's 1533-position model. RNAcentral also lists the same sequence under 1 other name. The record is from RNAcentral.